GAUGAACGCUGGCGGCGUGCUUAACACAUGCAAGUCGAACGGGAAACCUUUUAUUGAAGCUUCUGCAGAUUUAGCUGGUUUCUAGUGGCGGACGGGUGAGUAACGCGUGGGUAACCUGCUCUAUACAGGGGGAUAACAACCAUAAAUGGUUGCUAAUACCGCAUAAGCGCACAGGGCGGCAUGGUCCGGUGUGAAAAACUCGGGUGGUAUAGGAUGGACCCGCGUUGGAUUAGCCAGGUGGCAGGGUAACGGCCUACCAAAGCGACGAUCCAUAGCCGGCCUGAGAGGGUGACCGGCUACAUUGGGACUGAGACACGGCCCAGACUCGUACGGGAGGGAGGAGUAGGGAAUAUUGCGCAAUGGGGGAAGCCCUGAUGCAGCGACGUGGCGUGAAGGAAGAAGUAGCUCGGUAUGUGAACUUCUAUCAGAAGGGAAGAUAGUGACGGUACCUGACUAAGAAGCACCGGCUAACUACGUG
Molecule: ribosomal RNA, 478 nt
Filed under: uncultured bacterium
Lineage: Bacteria
Description: partial 16S ribosomal RNA
Rfam family: Bacterial small subunit ribosomal RNA
Source: RNAcentral